Molecule: ribosomal RNA, 253 nt
Filed under: uncultured bacterium
Lineage: Bacteria
Description: partial 16S ribosomal RNA
Rfam family: Bacterial small subunit ribosomal RNA
Source: RNAcentral
GACGAACCGUCCUAACGUUGUUCGGAAUCACUGGGCUUAAAGGGCGCGUAGGCGGGUCUCCAAGUCGGUGGUGAAAUCUUUCAGCUCAACUGGAAAAGUGCCGCCGAUACUGGGGGUCUCGAGGGAGGUAGGGGUCGAUGGAACUAAUGGUGGAGCGGUGAAAUGCGUAGAUAUCAUUAGGAACGCCGGUGGCGAAAGCGAUCGACUGGACCUCUUCUGACGCUGAGGCGCGAAAGCCAGGGGAGCAAACGGG